Molecule: ribosomal RNA, 604 nt
Filed under: uncultured bacterium
Lineage: Bacteria
Description: bacterial SSU rRNA
Rfam family: Bacterial small subunit ribosomal RNA
Source: RNAcentral
GAGUUUGAUCCUGGCUCAGGAUGAACGCUGGCGGCGUGCCUAACACAUGCAAGUCGAGCGAAGCACAUAUGCGGAGGCCUCCGGGCCAAAGGAUGUGUGACUGAGCGGCGGACGGGUGAGUAACGCGUGGGUAACCUGCCCUAUACAGGGGGAUAACAGCUAGAAAUGGCUGCUAAUACCGCAUGAGCGCACAGCUCCGCAUGGAGCGGUGUGAAAAACUCCGGUGGUAUAGGAUGGACCCGCGUCCGAUUAGCUAGUUGGUGGGGUAAAGGCCCACCAAGGCGACGAUCGGUAGCCGACCUGAGAGGGUGACCGGCCACAUUGGGACUGAGACACGGCCCAAACUCCUACGGGAGGCAGCAGUGGGGGAUAUUGCACAAUGGGGGGAACCCUGAUGCAGCGACGCCGCGUGAGUGAAGAAGUAUCUCGGUAUGUAAAGCUCUAUCAGCAGGGAAGAAGCAAGACGGUACCUGACUAAGAAGCCCCGGCUAACUACGUGCCAGCAGCCGCGGUAAUACGUAGGGGGCGAGCGUUAUCCGGAUUUACUGGGUGUAAAGGGAGCGUAGACGGCAUGGCAAGUCUGGAGUGAAAGCCCGGGGCCCAA